This 650-nucleotide long non-coding RNA is filed under the name Pongo abelii (Sumatran orangutan). RNAcentral's name for it is "lincRNA". The stretch from base 1 to 136 matches the Rfam family "Pvt1 oncogene conserved region 7". The record is from RNAcentral. Lineage: Eukaryota; Metazoa; Chordata; Mammalia; Primates; Hominidae.
AGGACAGAAUAAUGGGCUCCCAGAUUCACAAGCCCCACCAAGAGGAUCACCCCAGGAACCCUUGGAGGCUGAGGAGUUCACUGAGGCUACUGCAUCUUGAGACUCAGGAUGAAGACCCAGCUUGGGGCUGUCAAAGAGGUCUGAAGAGGCAGAACACCCCAGAGGAGUCUGGGGCCACCACCCAGUGUCACUGUGGGAAAACGGCAGCAGGAAAUGUCCUCUCGCCUGCGUGCUCCACCUCAGUCCACACCUUCCCUCCUUCUGGAAGCCUUGCCUGACCACUGACCUGCCCCUUCUAUGGGAAUCACUACUGACCUUGCAGCUUAUUAUAGACUUAUAUGUAUGCAGAAAUAUAAUUUUAAUUACUUUUGUAUUGCUCGAGAGUGAUACCGAAUCAUGAUAGAAAAUUUAAAUAAACAAAAUAGCCAAAUUAAUACCAGUAAUCACCCCAGUCAAAUAUACCCAGCUCAUAUUUUGAUGUAAAAUCUUCCAGUACAUUUUCUAUGUACAUAUAUAUAUUUUUAGGAAGGAGAUUAUAUUUUACAUGCUGUUUUCUAAAACGUUCUUUUAAAACUGUAUCAUAAACAUCUUUCCUUAUCAUUAAAUAGUCUUCUACAACAAACUUUGCUAAUGAAUUUUUUUUAUCAUGG